UUGAGGGGCAGCCGCCACCAAAGACUAUGGCGUGCCCACCACCGGGAACUCCUCUCCAGAAAUGAGAGGCUGCCACUGCUGAGGGAGUGGGAAAUUCAAGAAAACUUUCGGAUCCACACACUUAGUUCUACAUACAUCCUUUCACCCCUCUUCCAAGACUUAUAUUCUUGAACCAGGCGUGGUGACUUUUCCGGAGCCAUAAGAGGAUUUUGAGAUCUGCGUCAACUGGGAUAGCGAACGCGGAUGUUAUUCCAGAUACUUCAUUAAAUUUGACCAGUAUUUCUCCAUAGA
Peromyscus eremicus (cactus mouse) is the source of this 291-nucleotide long non-coding RNA. RefSeq lists it as uncharacterized. The transcript is spliced from 3 exons. The record is from RefSeq and is a predicted model, not a curated record. Lineage: Eukaryota; Metazoa; Chordata; Mammalia; Rodentia; Cricetidae.